CCCUUAGAUGUUCUGGGCCGCACGCGUGCUACACUGGGUGGAUCAGCGGGUCAGGUUGCGCGAAAGUGUUUCCUAAUCUUGAAAUCCGCUCGUGAUGGGGAUUGACGGUUGCAAUUUUCUGUCAUGAACGAGGAAUACCUUGUAAGCGCGGGUCAUCAUCCCGCGCUGAAUACGUCCCUGCCCUUUGUACACACCGCCCGUCGCUCCUACCGAUUGAGUGGUCCGGUGAGGCUUUGGGAUCUGGAUGGAAAGAGCGUUUCGCUGUUUCUGCCCGGAAAACUCAGUCGAACCUUAUCAUUUAGAGGAAGGAGAAGUCGUAACA
This 322-nucleotide ribosomal RNA is filed under the name uncultured eukaryote. RNAcentral describes it as "partial 18S ribosomal RNA". It matches the Rfam family "Eukaryotic small subunit ribosomal RNA", at positions 1470 to 1796 of the family's 1831-position model. The record is from RNAcentral.